ACUCCUACGGGAGGCAGCAGUGGGGAAUAUUGCACAAUGGGCGCAAGCCUGAUGCAGCCAUGCCGCGUGUAUGAAGAAGGCCUUCGGGUUGUAAAGUACUUUCAGCAGUGAGGAAGGCGGAGUCGUUAAUAGCGGCCUCGUUUGACGUUAGCUGCAGAAGAAGCACCGGCUAACUCCGUGCCAGCAGCCGCGGUAAUACGGAGGGUGCGAGCGUUAAUCGGAAUUACUGGGCGUAAAGCGCAUGCAGGUGGUUCGUUAAGUCAGAUGUGAAAGCCCGGGGCUCAACCUCGGAAUUGCAUUUGAAACUGGCAGACUAGAGUACUGUAGAGGGGGGUAGAAUUUCAGGUGUAGCGGUGAAAUGCGUAGAGAUCUGAAGGAAUACCGGUGGCGAAGGCGGCCCCCUGGACAGAUACUGACACUCAGAUGCGAAAGCGUGGGGAGCAAACAGGAUUAGAUACCCUGGUAGCACAGA
This 472-nucleotide ribosomal RNA is filed under the name uncultured bacterium. Its description in RNAcentral is "bacterial SSU rRNA". It matches the Rfam family "Bacterial small subunit ribosomal RNA", at positions 335 to 799 of the family's 1533-position model. The record is from RNAcentral.